This 464-nucleotide ribosomal RNA is filed under the name Vreelandella stevensii. Its description in RNAcentral is "partial 16S ribosomal RNA". It matches the Rfam family "Bacterial small subunit ribosomal RNA", at positions 338 to 795 of the family's 1533-position model. The record is from RNAcentral. Lineage: Bacteria; Pseudomonadati; Pseudomonadota; Gammaproteobacteria; Oceanospirillales; Halomonadaceae.
CCUGCGGGGGGCUGCAGUGGGGAAUAUUGGACAAUGGGCGAAAGCCUGAUCCAGCCAUGCCGCGUGUGUGAAGAAGGCCUUCGGGUUGUAAAGCACUUUCAGUGGGGAAGAAAGCCUUGGGGCUAAUACCCUCGAGGAAGGACAUCACCCACAGAAGAAGCACCGGCCAACUCCGUGCCAGCAGCCGCGGUAAUACGGAGGGUGCGAGCGUUAAUCGGAAUUACUGGGCGUAAAGCGCGCGUAGGCGGUCUGAUAAGCCGGUUGUGAAAGCCCCGGGCUCAACCUGGGAACGGCAUCCGGAACUGUCAGGCUAGAGUGCAGGAGAGGAAGGUAGAAUUCCCGGUGUAGCGGUGAAAUGCGUAGAGAUCGGGAGGAAUACCAGUGGCGAAGGCGGCCUUCUGGACUGACACUGACGCUGAGGUGCGAAAGCGUGGGUAGCAAACAGGAUUAGAUACCCUGUAGUC